GACGUAGGGCGCGAGCGUUGUCCGGAUUUAUUGGGCGUAAAGAGCUCGUAGGCGGCUCAUCGCGUCUGCCGUGAAAACCCGCAGCUCAACUGCGGGCUUGCGGUUGAUACGGGUGGGCUGGAGUUCGGUAGGGGAGACUGGAAUUCCUGGUGUAGCGGUGAAAUGCGCAGAUAUCAGGAGGAACACCGGUGGCGAAGGCGGAUCUCUGGGCCGAUACUGACGCUGAGAAGCGAAAGCAUGGGGAGCGAACAGG
Molecule: ribosomal RNA, 253 nt
Filed under: uncultured bacterium
Lineage: Bacteria
Description: partial 16S ribosomal RNA
Rfam family: Bacterial small subunit ribosomal RNA
Source: RNAcentral